AUGAAGGCCCCCACUCAGCUCCUUAGCUUCCUGCUGCUCUGGCUCCCAGGAGCCAGGUGUGCCAUCCAGAUGACCCAGUCUCCACCCUCUGUGUCUGCAUCUCCAGGAGACAGAGUCACCAUCUCCUGCCGGGCCAGUCAGGGUAUUAGCAGCAGGUUAGCCUGGUAUCAGCAGAAACCAGGGAAAGCUCCUAAGCUCCUGAUCCAUAAUGCAAACAGUGUGCAGCCUGGGGUCCCAUCCCGCUUCAGUGGCAGUGGCUCUGGGACAGAUUUCACUCUCACCAUCAGCAGCCUGGAGCCUGAAGAUGCUGCCACUUACUACUGUCAGCAGCAUAACAGCUACCCUCCCACAGUGACACCCAGAGACAGAGCGGGGAAC
Molecule: non-coding RNA, 378 nt
Organism: Talpa occidentalis (Iberian mole)
Lineage: Eukaryota; Metazoa; Chordata; Mammalia; Eulipotyphla; Talpidae
Source: the annotation of a RefSeq genome assembly